RNAcentral lists this ribosomal RNA (467 nucleotides) under uncultured bacterium. Its description in RNAcentral is "partial 16S ribosomal RNA". It matches the Rfam family "Bacterial small subunit ribosomal RNA", at positions 30 to 507 of the family's 1533-position model. The record is from RNAcentral.
CGAACGCUGGCGGCGUGCUUAACACAUGCAAGUCGAACGGAAAGGCCCUGCUUGCAGGGUGCUCGAGUGGCGAACGGGUGAGUAACACGUGGGUGAUCUGCCCCUUACUUUGGGAUAAGCCUGGGAAACUGGGUCUAAUACUGGAUAGGACCAUGCUGUAGGUGGUGUGGUGGAAAGAUUAGUUUCGGUAAGGGAUGAGCUCGCGGCCUAUCAGCUUGUUGGUGGGGUAAUGGCCUACCAAGGCGUCGACGGGUAGCCGGCCUGAGAGGGUGGACGGCCACAUUGGGACUGAGAUACGGCCCAGACUCCUACGGGAGGCAGCAGUGGGGAAUAUUGCACAAUGGGCGCAAGCCUGAUGCAGCGACGCCGCGUGGGGGAUGACGGCCUUCGGGUUGUAAACUCCUUUCAGCCAUGACGAAGCCCUUGUGGUGACGGUAGUGGUAGAAGAAGCACCGGCUAACUACGUG